RNAcentral lists this long non-coding RNA (863 nucleotides) under Marmota monax (woodchuck). Lineage: Eukaryota; Metazoa; Chordata; Mammalia; Rodentia; Sciuridae. The record is from RNAcentral.
UGUUUCUCAUAGUUUUGAAGACUGGGGAGUCCAAGAUCAAAGCACUAACACUUGGUGUCUGGUGAAGACCUUACAUGGCACGGAGGAGCAAAUGCUAUGUUUUCACACAGUAAAAGGUGAAAGGGCAAAAAGGGCCUUUUAACUAAUUACCUCCAGCCCUUUUGUAAGGCACCAAAUGCUCUUAUGAGGCUUUAUCACUUCCAAAAUAGGCCCCACCUCUUAAUAUUAUCAAAAUUGGAAUUGAGUUCCAACAUGAAGUUUGGUUAAGACAUAUAUUCAAACCAUAGCAGUUAUGAUUAAGAGAAAAAAGUUUAAUAUUCUUUAAAUGUCUUCUUUUGCUUCCCUGAAACUCACACUUAUUUGAUGAUGACUCUUCAACAUUUUAUCCGAAAAACUAAUAAAUUAAGGAAUAUUUUGGAAUGCUAGAAUUUUAUAAUUUAAUAAUCAUUUAACCUAUACAAGGCAAUGUGAUUUACAAAGAUAAGUAAAAUAUAGUUUUUCUUGCACAAAAAAUUGAACCACGAUGAGAGAAGUAAAAUUUAAGGGCUGAAUCUGGUAUAAAUGUCUUCCAUUUUUUAGGGCCAGGCAGCAGUUUAUGUAGAGCAUUACAUUGAAAAUCUAGUUUUUUGCAAUACGUUUUCCUGUUAACAUACCUUAAUAUUUCUCUGUGAUUUCAAGGUAUUCAUGAAAUGUUCAGGAAAAGAUGCCUUUUUUAAAGUCUCAAAUUCUGAAUAGAAAUGUGUUUAGGACUGGGUUUCAAACAUGCAUUUAAAUGAUGUAGUUAUUCUUAAUGAUAUACAUAUAUAGCAUCUUGUGAAUAAGACAUAUGUUGUAAAAUAUCUAUAAUCCUCAAAAUAAAUGCC